GGGGAAUAUUGCACAAUGGGGGAAACCCUGAUGCAGCAACGCCGCGUGAAGGAAGACGGUUUUCGGAUCGUAAAACUCUGUUGUUAGAGAAGAACAAGGAUGAGAAGAGAAUGUUCAUCCCUUGACGGUAUCUAACCAGAAAGCCACGGCUAACUACGUGCCAGCAGCCGCGGUAAUACGUAGGUGGCAAGCGUUGUCCGGAUUUAUUGGGCGUAAAGCGAGCGCAGGCGGUUCUUUAAGUCUGAUGUGAAAGCCCCCGGCUUAACCGGGGAGGGUCAUUGGAAACUGGGGAACUUGAGUGCAGAAGAGGAGAGUGGAAUUCCAUGUGUAGCGGUGAAAUGCGUAGAUAUAUGGAGGGACACCAGUGGCGAAGGCGGCUCUCUGGUCUGUAACUGACGCUGAGGCUCGAAAGCGUGGGGAGCAAAC
Molecule: ribosomal RNA, 426 nt
Filed under: uncultured bacterium
Lineage: Bacteria
Description: bacterial SSU rRNA
Rfam family: Bacterial small subunit ribosomal RNA
Source: RNAcentral